Molecule: transfer RNA, 74 nt
Filed under: Pyxidicoccus parkwayensis
Lineage: Bacteria; Pseudomonadati; Myxococcota; Myxococcia; Myxococcales; Myxococcaceae
Description: Pyxidicoccus sp. SCPEA002 tRNA-Thr
Rfam family: tRNA
About the family: Transfer RNA (tRNA) molecules are approximately 80 nucleotides in length. Their secondary structure includes four short double-helical elements and three loops (D, anti-codon, and T loops).
Source: RNAcentral
GCUCCUGUAGCUCAGCUGGUAGCAGCGCCGGUUUCGUAAACCGGGGGUCGUCGGUUCGAGUCCGACCGGGAGCA